GUCCACGCCAUAACGAUGUGUGCUAGUUGGUGGUAGCUUAGCUAUUCGCUGACGCAGCUAACGCCUUAAGCACACCGCCUGGGAAGUACGGCCGCAAGGUUAAACUCAAAGGAAUUGACGGGGCCCGCACAAGCGGUGGAGCAUGUGGUUUAAUUCGAUGCAACGCGAAGAACCUUACCUGGUCUUGACAUAGUAAGAACUUUCCAGAGAUGGAUUGGUGCCUUCGGGAACUUACAUACAGGUGCUGCAUGGCUGUCGU
Molecule: ribosomal RNA, 259 nt
Filed under: uncultured bacterium
Lineage: Bacteria
Description: partial 16S ribosomal RNA
Rfam family: Bacterial small subunit ribosomal RNA
Source: RNAcentral